CGGCAGUCGACAAUGGUCCAGGCGUGGGAUUUCUCUCGUGGAAGUAUGCACAUUAUUUUUUCCUUUCUAUUGGUAGGUGGUGUUAGGUUUGUAUUGUUUAUUGCCAUUUAUGCUUAGAAAUAUUUACUCAUAUAUGCUUAGAAGUAUAUAAUCAUUUGUAGAUUGAAAGAAUGUCUCAUCCUAGGAGGUCUGUAACAACUCUGUGUAGCAUGAAGAGGGGAGUGCGUUCACUCCUCUUCAGAGUGUUCUGGCAUAGAUCAUACACCUCCUAGGAGAGGUCGUAUCUUCUCUUGCUGAUAUAUGGUAUAGCAAACAUACGUAUAUCUGUUUGAGUCUAAGAGCCUUUUGUUCAGAUGUACCGCUAGACUCCUGGCACCAGCUUUGGGGAGUCUUCCUGGGGUUACAUCUUGACCCCAUAUACACACACACACACUCAGGGUAUUCUUUGUUCACAUGCAUACCUAUAUAAGAUGUCGUAUGUUAAUGAACCUAUGCAUAUUCAUGAAACCACAAUAAAAGAGCAGUGUUACGGGAGAGCGGAAGAGAGCAACUGGGGUCAAGCGAAGGAACGGCGCCUGUCCAGUUCUCUCCCGUGCACGUGAAACAUAAAGAACUUUGCCUACUUCGUGUCUUGCUUGCUGUGUGAUUACAUUGCCUUCAACGUUCCAGCGAAUAGGUUCAAGCUACAAACCUAUCAUUAAUUGGUCCUUCGACGCCGGAUCCCUGGAGUCGGCAUUCACCGAGGAGAGAACCCUGACGUCAGCGAGACGUGAGAAUUUGUCAUCGGGCCGGUGGAUGAGCUGUCUGUUUUCUCUCCCCGACGAAUGACGAUCGGCGGGAUCCGAGGCUGAUAUUACACACUAAGCAACACCGAGUAAGUUGAGAGAGCGACUAUAUAGCCGCACAACUGGGUUAGGGUCCCGAAAGAGAGGUUUUGGUAAAAUCGCCCAAGGGCCCAAGCGUCCGGUGAGAGUCCGGUUUUGAAAUCGCCCUGGGUUUGUGUCCCGAGCGUCCCUUCACUGGGUUUUGAGUCGCGCGACUGGGUAAGGGUCCCAGAAGAGUGUUGCUGUGUUUGUGUGAAUGACUGCGGAGCAGGCGCGGUCUGUGACACGGUUGUUGUUGUUAUCAUGGGUUCCCGAGCAAGUAAGACUGCCUCACAGGGAGAUGACACAUUCGUGCAAGAAUUCACUCCCGGCAGCGCGAGCCAUUUAUAUUCUCAUAAUUGUCAUGAGCGUAAACUGGUCGCGGAAGAGAUUCAAAUGUUGGAAGUUUUCAGAAAACACAUUAGCCUUGAUGAGCGUACAGAGAAGGCCAGCCCACAUCAGCAGCAGUUAAGUUAUGCUCUGGUGAAUGGCUUUCACCCACCCAUUGCUGAUUUCAUUAGGAAGCAAAAUGUUAAUCAUAACUCUAACGGGUCCUUCACAUGCAUUAACUGCACCCGCUGUGCACAGGAAGGAAUUAAAGACACACAGAAGAAGUCACAAAACUCUGCAGCCGCUGCUUCCCUAGCAGAUAAAAUCAUUUUCCAGGGACAGACUGGAAGAGGGCUGAAUAGGGGCAGGAAUAAGAGAGGUGAAGGCCCGCGGGGAUUUAGGUGGGAACGCGACAGAAGGAAGGAGAAAUGCUAUGCAUGUAGAGAAAGGGGUCACUAUGCUAGAGAGUGUCCUAAGCGCAAGCCUGAGUAACCCCACCUGUGAUAAAUGAUUAGUACCCGUCAAAACUGCCAAUACACACACAUGUUUAGAUUAUUUUUUUAUUUAUUUAUUUUUUAGCUUGCCCUGAUCAACAACAGCCGUACUCCAGACCACAGAUUUGAUUGAGGUGGAUAAGUGUUAAAAGUAAUCUGCAUUAAGCUUAAGGUUGCUCAAAUUCAGUACAAUGACAUAUGAGAUGAAGUACAAUAGGCAAAUAUUCUAACUAAUGAAGUGCAUAGAGGCACUUAACCUGUUUGUAAGACUGUCGUCUUAUUAUGAGCCAUUGUUGAGAUAUAGAGCACACCUGUGAAAACAACUAUUAUGCUGAACCCUGUGUGAAACAGCUGAAAACUACAUGAUGGAGAAGCUGAGUUGAAUAUGAAAAUGCAAGUCUUUGCCACUGUGGGCAAAGCACGCAACCACUGUGUGAGGUUGUGUUGCGGUCUCUUCUGAGCUGAUGAGCAAGCUACACAUUAUCAGAUCGGGAGCUGGCUGAGAACUCAUCAAAGAAAGGGGAAGAGAACUAUGAUAACUCGAGUAUGUAGCGUAUCCGUGAGUUCAGCUUCUUCUUUCAGAUGCGCAGCAGUUUUCCUGGAUCUUGACUCGUGUGUAGAGUGUUCAUAGCAUCAGCAUCAUGUUUUUGUUUAUUUGCUUUGUUGGGUUGAAAAAUAAUUAAAUAAACUUGUGAUCAUACUUAUGGAUCACCAUGGCACAUAUCAUCAGCCAUAUGUUUUAUUUAUGCAGAUGAAAAAAGUGAGUGUGAAUGUGCCUGACGUCGCAGUGUGUGUGUGCGUUGUGUAAACGUAAUUGUCUCCAAUUGUGAGAGUGGUGAUUCUGCAGGUCACCAGCUAGUGUAAAGAAAAAAAAAGAGUAAAACAGAGACAAAAUCUAUAUUGUAGAUGGAAAAAUAAUAGGAAACAGGUUUUGUGUUUAUUAGCCAAGAACAACUACAAUCUCAUUUUCUGCUUUUAAGAAAGGAGAGAUGUGUGUUGGUUAAGCAGUGAUAAUAAUAAUGAAAAUGUCUUAGUUUUGUCACUUUCAGAUGAAAAGCAGAUCUGGAUCAGUUUUCCCCAUGCAGCAGUCGGAAUAAAGUUAUAGUUUAACAUCAUUGGAAACAUUCAGGCCAAGGUUCUGGCUAACUUAUUUACAGCACCAUGUGUCCCUCAUCCUCACAAGCGAGCUCUCACUCCUCCCUGAAGACAAGGAAUGCAGUUCCAAAGAGCAAUAACAUGGCAGAUAAAGAGACAGCAGCAAAGUCCUGAGCAAAGAGACCCAGCAAGCAGCAGCAGUGUGGACAAACAGCAGUGGAGAAGAAGAGCAAACCAUCAUCCUGACUGAUUGGAUGAAUGACACUGUGUUUCCAACAAGCUGCAAAGUCACUGUGCUUGUGAAAAGAACGUUUGAGGAGAACUGAGGAGACUGUUGGGGUUUGACAUUUGCCACUUUCGGAGUAAAAUGGCAAGAAGAGACAGUGGAACACAUGACAAAGCUGAAGGAGAACUGCCGGCUGUUGGACUGUUGAAGUGGGAGAGGACAACAGAGUGAGAGGAGCAAGGAAAUACAGGUGCAGCAGUCAGAGUAUUGCUGAAAGGAAUCUCCUGAGAAAUCUUCAGAGGCCCAGUGAGAAGCAAGAACCAUUCCAGGCAUAACUGCGCCCAGGCAGUGGUUGAGGUCAAAGGUCGAGCUGUUUGGGGCCCAUUGGGAGAUCAGAUUCCACAACCACAGCAAGGACCACGAAGCUGCGUUGGAAUGAGAGCUGUGCCAAGGGGGCUUUCCAGAGGCCAACAGAGGAGAUCGUGGACGACAGACGGGCACCUGAAGGAUGAGGGGAGCAUGCCAAGCUCCACCGACAGAGCAGGGGGAGUUCAAGGAUGGCAUCAUGAUUCUGUGAGAAGCACAGGAACCAGAAGCUAUGGUGGUGAUGACAGCAGUUUCCUAUGAACAUCACCUAAUGCUGUGUCACUGUACUAUGCACACGAUGGCACUCUGAAGACUGCUGGAAUCAUAACAGCAGUAAGAUAACGGGAUCCAGCACCCUUUCCACAGAGGGUUUUCCUGCAGAGGAUGGACAAUGGAGGAGUCAUAUGUAUCCCCCACAGGACAGAGGCCUGAAGUGAGGUGAUGGGGGUUGGCAGAGAGGCCAUAAAACUAGAGUGCUGAAGAGGUCUGCAGCUUUCACGAUAGCUGAGACCCAUGUUAACAAACAAUAAACUCAACUGGUAUGUUUGAAUGUCUAUUCUACAUACAUUUGGACUCUGGUCCUAUGAACAGUGAUGGAAACAACUGGAAGAGACAUUUAUGACGCCCUGCAGAACUUAAACCACCCUGUAGAGAGACGUGUGAUUUACAUGUCUUGCAGAGGAGCACCACCAAGCUGGAGUGAUCUUGAAAAUGUUAAUUUCUCUUUUGACCAUUAACGAUUCAUUUGUUUGCUCGUAGGAUGCAGUUUACCAUUGAAUGAGAUUAAUGAGAACUUGGAUAACUGCUAAUAUAUUUGUCAGACUGUGUACGUUUACAUAUGCUGAGUAUGAAAAUGGUUGCAUUGACACUGUCAGACAUGACGUGAUCAUAACUGGGGACUUUUCUAGCAUAAUUGUCAAAAGGGGGGAAAUGUUAGGUUUGUAUUGUUUAUUGCCAUUUAUGCUUAGAAAUAUUUACUCAUAUAUGCUUAGAAGUAUAUAAUCAUUUGUAGAUUGAAAGAAUGUCUCAUCCUAGGAGGUCUGUAACAACUCUGUGUAGCAUGAAGAGGGGAGUGCGUUCACUCCUCUUCAGAGUGUUCUGGCAUAGAUCAUACACCUCCUAGGAGAGGUCGUAUCUUCUCUUGCUGAUAUAUGGUAUAGCAAACAUACGUAUAUCUGUUUGAGUCUAAGAGCCUUUUGUUCAGAUGUACCGCUAGACUCCUGGCACCAGCUUUGGGGAGUCUUCCUGGGGUUACAUCUUGACCCCAUAUACACACACACACACUCAGGGUAUUCUUUGUUCACAUGCAUACCUAUAUAAGAUGUCGUAUGUUAAUGAACCUAUGCAUAUUCAUGAAACCACAAUAAAAGAGCAGUGUUACGGGAGAGCGGAAGAGAGCAACUGGGGUCAAGCGAAGGAACGGCGCCUGUCCAGUUCUCUCCCGUGCACGUGAAACAUAAAGAACUUUGCCUACUUCGUGUCUUGCUUGCUGUGUGAUUACAUUGCCUUCAACGUUCCAGCGAAUAGGUUCAAGCUACAAACCUAUCA
This is a long non-coding RNA of Oreochromis aureus, 4922 nucleotides long. NCBI's taxonomy places the organism in Eukaryota, Metazoa, Chordata, Actinopteri, Cichliformes, Cichlidae. The record is from Ensembl.